Molecule: RNase P RNA, 389 nt
Filed under: Sporomusaceae bacterium
Lineage: Bacteria; Bacillati; Bacillota; Negativicutes; Selenomonadales; Sporomusaceae
Description: RNase P RNA component class A
Rfam family: Bacterial RNase P class A
About the family: Ribonuclease P (RNase P) is a ubiquitous endoribonuclease, found in archaea, bacteria and eukarya as well as chloroplasts and mitochondria. Its best characterised activity is the generation of mature 5'-ends of tRNAs by cleaving the 5'-leader elements of precursor-tRNAs.
Source: RNAcentral
UGAGUACGAAAGAUGGUCGCGGCUGCAUAAAACGCAGACGAGGAAAGUCCGAGCUCCGCAGAGCAAGGCGCUGGAUAACGCCCAGCGAAGGUGACUUUAGGGAAAGUGCCACAGAAAUGUAGACCGCCUGCUAAAUUUUUAGUUAGGUAAGGAUGGAACGGUGCGGUAAGAGCGCACCAGCAGCCAGGUGACUGGCUGGCUAGGUAAACCCCGCCUGGAGCAAGACCGAAUAGGGAAGAGAUGAAGCUGCUCGCCGAUUCUUCCGGGUUGCGUCGCUAGAGCCUACAGGAAACUGUCGGCCAAGAUAAAUGACCGUCACUGCUUUUGCGUGUUACCACUAAGAGUAAAUACGCGGCAGAACAGAACUCGGCUUAUUGACUGCUCAUACG